Molecule: long non-coding RNA, 7150 nt
Filed under: Homo sapiens (human)
Lineage: Eukaryota; Metazoa; Chordata; Mammalia; Primates; Hominidae
Description: HSALNT0209579
Source: RNAcentral
GCUCUCUAGGUGAGUGGGAACAAAUGGCAGCCUAUCAGAGAAGUGCACCCAGGACAAUUGCACAGUUGUGAUCAUUUGGGGAUCUCAUGCAGACUCUCCCUGCAGCCCCCAGUGCACCAUCAGGAGUUUCUAAGUACAAAAUGAGACAAGACUGUUGUGGAAAAGUCAACUGGAGAGACCAGGUCAAAGGCCAAGCAGAAGAGGAAUUAGGCUUAAGACUGCACUGAGAGGGAACACUAGACCAUGGUGGUAAAUGGAGUCUCGACACGUUGCCCAAGCUGUUCUCAAACUCCAGGGCUUGAACAAUCUUCCCACCUUGGCCUCCCAAGGCACUGGAAUUACAGAGACAGUGCUCUGCAGGGAGUCUACCACUGUGAUGGUUAAUACUGAGUGUCAACUUGAUUGGAUUGAAGGAUGCAAAGUAUUGUUCCUGGGUGUGUCUGUGAGGGUGUUGCCAAAGGAGAUUAACAUUUGAGUCAGUGGGCUGGGAAAGGUAGACCCAGCCGUAAUCUAGGUGGGCACCAUCUAAUCAGCUGCCAGCACAGCUAGAAGAUAAAGUAGGCAGAAAAACAUGAAAACAUUAGACUGGCCUAGCCUCUGAGCCUACAUCUUUCUCCCAUGCUGGAUGCUCCCUGCCCUUGAACAUCAGACUCCAAGUUUUUCAGUUUUGGGACUGGGACUCACUAUCCUUGCUCCUCAGCUUGCAGACAGCCUAUUGUGGGACCUUAUGAUCAUGUGAGUUAAUACUUAAUACAUAAAUAUAUAUAUAUACACACACACAUAUACACACACACACACACAUAUAUAUAUACACACACACACACAUAUAUAUAUAUAUCUGUCCCUCUAGAGAACCCUGACUAAUACAACUACUAAUAAAAAUUGGGGCAAAAGACAUUGAUUGGGUAUUGUAAGUAGGUUAUGCUCACAGUAGCAAUAUCUCUUAAGACUUUUUAAAAGACUUCCUAAUAAAAGAGAUUUAAAAUACAGCAAAUAACAAGUUUGUGCAUUUUCAAUUUCAUUAUCAGCACCACCUUCAUUAUCCAAAGUUAUUACUAAAGCUUAUGACACAUACAGCAUGAGCAGCAGACAGAAAAUUUUGAAGUCAGUGCCUCUGUGGUUCACAGGUGCAGAGGCAGACAUCACAGCUGUCAAGCAGUUAUUUACAAGAGAGACACUUCUCCAGUAGUAAUUGACAACCUUCUUUAAGGGAAAAGAGGCUGCAAAACUGUGGAAUAUUAGAACAUGAAGCCAAAGAGGAAAACUGACUUGCCUAAGGCCACUCAACAAAUUAUUCAGCCAGAAUGGGAACUCAUACUUGACUUCAACUUCUUAUUCCUCGUGUUCUUACUCCUACAAGUUUUCCACUACUCAGGGGCUCUUUAGGGUAAAUUAACCAUGAAAACACACACAUGCACACACACAUACAAACUAAAUUCCAUUCAUAUUAAGAUAUGCUUCCUUUUUUCUCUCCCCUAUCCAUGGUAGUAAUAACAAGAAGUAAAAGCUUUUUCAUUAUAAAGUAAACUUCCAUUUUUCUUUCUUGAUACGUUUUCAGGUUUUCCUCUAAAAGUAAUUAAAAGUACUACUCAAGUUGUUCCUAGUUGUCUAGAAUGGCUUAUGCUGCCAUUAGCUUCUACAGCUCUGUCAUUAGAGAAAUGGACUGUACUUCUUCUUCACCUUUCACAUGCGGCCAAAAUUGGGUUACUUUAAAAGGCCAGAUGUCAAAAGCAGAUAAAUCCUUUGUACUGUAAUGAGCAUAAUGAUGAAUAAUGGCACUUAUGUUCAAUAAACGAUGCCCUGCCCAUAAACAGCCUUUCCUCUCAGAUAUUCUAUUUAAUUCAAUGAUAUAUUCCAGGUAAUUUGUGGAACUGAAUGAGAAAUUACCUUAAACAAGAAGACUUUGGAAUUUACUAAAAUAUACUUGUUGAAAAUAAUUAAUGGAAGCAGAGUUUGCAUUAGUAAAAUUAUGGCAUUAAAAUCCGUCAUUGCAUGAAUUCAUCUUCCAAGUGGCCUGCCUUGGAGCAGGUGUACAGAUGAGGGCAUUGUGGCAUGAACAAUGUUGGUAGUAAAAGGCAUGCUAUUGAUAUCAAUGUGCCAUGGUAUGUGGUGCUCUUUGUGUGUUUUAAGAACAGAGACAAUCCAUAUAGUGUUGAUCAUCUCCCACUUAAACUACUGUAAAACCCAACUGAUCUUGCUACCUAUAUUCCAUGGAACUAUCCUAGUAAUCUUUGGAAAACAUAAAUCACAUCACGCCACUAACCCCCACUCAAACUACUAAUGGUUUCCCACCAUAGUUGAAGUAAAAAUCCAAAAUGCUUUCCAUGCUCUAUAAGACUGUAAAAAGACCUAUCUCUAGCCUGCCUCUCUGACAUUAUCGUCUACUAUUCUUUCCCCCUUGCUACUCCACACUAGUUACACUUGCAGUAUUGAUAGUUCUUAAAUAUUCAAAGAUAUUCCUUCCCCCAGGGACCUUGCGGUUUUUUUCUCCACUAUAUCUCAUUUUUGCAUGAAUCACUUCCUCAUCACAUUCAAGAAUCUGCUUAUAUAUCAUCUACAACUUCUAUUCCCAGCAACACAGCAAACUACAUACCUUGAAAAAAAAACUUUCCCAGUGGAGAACAGCUAAAAUUGCUUUAAAAAUGCAUUUUUAGAUACUUUAAUUGUUUAAUUGAGAAGUUUUUUAAAAAAUCGUAGAAACCAAAAAGUUAAAGCAAAAACAUUAAUCUCAAAAGGUAAGAGAAUACUGAAAACGAUGCCUGUCCUGGGACAAUGGCUGAUCGCUGAUAGUCCAGAGCUGCACUGUUCGAUACAGUAGCCACUUGCCACCUGCGACUAUUUAAAUUUUUUAAAAAAUUAUAAAUUUAAUUUCUCAAUUACAUAAGCCACACUUCAAGUGUUCAAUAAUCACAGUGGCUGAUGGAUACCAUGUUGGACAACACAAAUACAGAACGUUUCCAUCAUAUAGAAAGUUGAAUUGGAUGCUCUGAUCUCAAUUUUUAAACAAAACCUAGAGCCCAUUGAAAGAGAAAGUUAGAUUGGAGACCUCCUCCUAUUUCAGGUACACAGAUCCCCCUAAAGAAAAAAACACUACACCUACAAGGAACAUCCGAGCUAGAAAGAAAAUCUUUCCUCCCAAAGUAAAACAGGAAAAACAAUGCAUGUCUAAGACUUGACCCCAAAUUGAAGAAAAAAAUGUUCUUCUAGAAUACAUAACAAUCUGUUCUUCACAUAUGUUUGGAGCCAGAAUUUUCUCUACCUCUAUGAUCCAAUUAAUUUGAAGCUGAGAAAUUUCUUUAAACUAAUGCUGGAAUGGGAGUGUCACCAUGUUCCCAACAGAAGUAAAUGUAAACCAUCUAUUAAGGAACCUACCCUAAAUCCCAGGCUUCAACAAAAUCCCUGCAAAAUGUAUAAAAAUAUAUAUGCUCACAAAAAUAAAAUACGAAAGUAAAUAAGAUACUAAGAGUGAGCAGAAACCACUGAAAGAAGAGUAAAACUCUCAAAUACUGUAGAUAUUAGAAUUAUUGUAUAUAGAAUAUAAUGGUUAUGUAAUAAAUACCCUUAAAAUAAGAGUGUCAAUACUACAUUUAAUAAAUGAUUUACUACAUACAGCCAUUAUGGAAAACAAUACAGAGCUUCCUCAAAAAACUAAAAACAGAACUGCCAUAUGACCCAGCAAUCCCACUGCUGGGCAUAUAUCCAAAAGAAAGGAAAUCAGUAUGUCAGUGAGAUAUCUGUACUACCAUGGUUAUUGUAGCACUAUUCGCAAUAGCCAAAAUAUGGAAUCAACCUGAGUGUCCACCAAUAGAUGAGUAGAUUUUUUUAAUGUGGUAUAUAUAACAAUGAAGUAGUAUUCAGCCAUAAAAAAGAAUGAAAUUCUGUCAUUUGCAGCAACAUGGAUGGAAUGGGAGGUCAUUAUGUUAGUGAAAUGAGCCAGUCACAGAAAGACAAACAUCACAUGUUCUCACUUACAUGUGGAAGCUAAAAAACUGAAUCUCAUGGAGGUAGAGAACAGAAUGAUGAUUACAAGAGGCUGGGAAAGGAAGUGGGGAAGGGGAAUGAAGAUGAGUUGGUUAAAGGGUACAACAAUAUUGUUAGAAGGAAUAAGUUCUAUUAUUUGAUGGUAUAGUAUGGAAAUUAUAGUUAACAAUAAUUUAUUAUAUAUUUCAAAAUAGCUAAAAAAGAAGAAUUAUAAUGUUCCCAACACAAAAAAAAAUGUUCGAGGUGAUGGAUAUCCCAAUUACUCUGAUUUGACUACAUAUUGUACGCAUCUGUCAAAUUAUCACAUGUAUCCCAAAAAACAUGUACAAUUAUGAUAUAUCAAUAAAAAUACAAAUAAGACACUACAAAAAUGAUUAGGUUUUUUUAAAAAGUCUAGAAAUUUAAAAUAUAGUAAAUAAUAUUUUUGAACAGAUUUGAAAUGAUUGAACAGAAAGUUAAUAAUUGGAAAAUAACUCUGAAGAAAUUACACAGAUUAUAGCCUAAGAUAACAAAGUGAUUGAUAGGGGGCUAUAGUAAUAAAUAUAAUUGAAGUUUGGAAAUAAGGUAAUAGAAAUAGACAAUAUUUGAAGGGUAAAUGGCUAAGGAUUUUCCCAAAUUAUGAAAGUCAUAAAUUCCCAGGUUCCAGAAGCCAAACAAAUGCUAGAAGGGUAAAUAAAAAGAAACACACAUGUAGAGAUAUUGUAAUGAACCUGCAGAAUACCAAAGAUAAAACUAUUUUUAAAGUAGACAGUAAAAAGGCAAACCAGCAACAAAGUAAUAUCAAUUAGACUGAUGCCUGACUUCUCAAAAGCAGCAGUGAGGCUAGAAGUAAAUAGAAUAACAACUUCAAGAUUAGACAGUUAUGACCUAGAAUUAUAUACCAAGUGAAAAUGUUGUUUCAAGAAUUAAGGCUGUGUCAAUCAAACUUUAUCUUAGAUCAGGGUCUCUAGAAAUACAGCUUGAAACAGGAAUCUCUAUACAGGUGAUUAACUGACAGACUUCUCUCCUGAGUAAAUUAUAAUGAUGUAAGGGGAACAGGAUAAGGCAGGGGAAGAAACUCAAGAUGUGGUUUCAGCUAUAGUCUAGCCCCAGCCUGACCUCAAGGGAGUUCUGGAGUAUGAUUAUCACCACGUGGUUGUCCCACCUUGAGGCAAAAGGCUUAGGUGUCUUUCAAAGACCCAGGUGUUGUUUAUUAAUUCCUCACAUCAAGUAUCUUCUCCAUCAAGACUUUAACUGGUGUUUUAGAGCCAUGUUAAGACAAAUAACUUAGGCAUUACUUAUAAGCUUUACUAUUUUCAUUGUUCAUUUAAAUUUUUUAUAUAUCAUGGCCUUAAUAUGUAGUCUUUUAAAGUUAUGUUAUAUUUACACUCAAGGCACAUGAUAUUAAUAUAUUCACCACUGAGAUUGUCUGUGCUAAUAUUUUGCUACAUUCCCUUUAGAUUGUCAUUAUUUUCAAAGAAACAACACAUUACAAAUACAGUUACAGUCCCACCUUCCAUCUCUUCCUCAUUCCUGUCUACUCAGAAGUAACCCUUUUUCUGAAAUAAGUAUUAUCAUACUCAUAUAUGUUUAUUUCUUUCCUUUGGAUAAACUUCCUAAAUGUUUGAUACUCUAUAUUCAACUUUUUUUUUUUUUAGCCACAACAUUAUAUCUCUGAGACUUGCUAUGUUGAUACAUUCAAAUCCAAUUCAUUCAUUUUCAUUUUAGGCAUUCUGCUGGACCAACAAACAACAGUGUAUUUUUUCAUCCCCCUGCUGUUUGACAAUAAGAUUUUCUUAGCCUUGUAACAAUUAACAACUCAAAAAUAUACAUCUUUGUAUAUGUCUCCUUGAACAAGAGUUUCUCCCUGAGAAGCUCCCAGAAGAAGAACUGUUGGGCUAUGGAGAAUAUGCAUUGUCAACCUUACUUGGUAGUUCCAACAUAGCUUUCCAAAGUGUUUAUACUUAUUUUCCGUCCCUGCAACCACGCCUUGGAGUUCUUGUUUUGUUUGCAUUAUCACCAACAGUGAAUAUUAUCAAACUUAAUAAAUUUGUAAAUAUAAAAUGUUUUGUCCUUGUUUUAAUUUACAUUUCCUAAGUACUAAAGAAGUUGGACAUCUUUACAUAUAUUUAUUGGCCAUUGUAUUAGUUCAUUUUCACACUGCUAAUAAAGACACACCUGAGCCUGAGUAAUUUAUAAAGAAAAAGAAAUUUAAUGGACUCAUAGUUCCACAUGGCUGGGGAGGUCUCACAAUCAUGGCAGAAGGUGAAUGAGGAGAAAGACAUGUCUUACAUGGCAGCAGACAAGAGAGAGCAUGUGAGGGGAACUGCUGUUUAUAAAAUCAUCAGAUUUCAUGAGACUUAUUCACUAUCAAGGGAACAGCAUGGGAAAAACCCGCCCCAUGAUUCAAUUACCUCCCACAGGCUCCCUCCCAUGACACAUGGGGAUUAUUAGAAUUCAAGGUGAGAUUUGGGUGGGGACACAAAGCCAAACCAUAUCAGCCAUCUAUCUUCCUCUGUCAGUUUACCAUUAUAUAUUUUAACAAUAUUUAUAUCUGAUAUUAUUGAUUUCUAAGAGCAUUUUAUAUAUUCUGCGUAUUAAUAUUUCAUUGGUAAUAUGAGUUGCAAGUGUCUUUUCUCAGUCUAUGACUUUUAUUUUCAUCUCUGUCCCCUUUUAUACAGAAGUUUUAUGUUUCAGUGUAUCAGAAUGUAUUAAUUUUUCCUUUCGUGCUUUCUCUAAGAAUUAUAUCUUAGGAGUAAGUUCAAGAGAGCUAUUGUACAAUAUGGUUGUAUAGUUAAUAACAUUUUGAAAAUCACUGACUAGAUUGUUUUUACCACAAAAAAUGAUAAGUACAUGAUGUAAUGUAUGUGUUAAUUAGCUCAAAUGAGCCAUUCCACAAUGUAUACGUAUUUCAAAACAAUGUUGUACACAAUAAGUAUAUAAAUAUAUGCAAUUUCUAUUGGUCAAUUAAAAAUAUAUUUUACUAAAGGCAUAAAAAUAUUCUCCCAUUUUUUGGUUGAAAGUUUUAGAGCUUUGCUGAUCACAUUUAGGUCUUUAAGCUAUCUGGAAUGUAUUUUUGUGAAUGAUGUGAUAUAGCAAUCUCAUUUUAUCUUGUACUAUAUAAUGGCCAAGUUCCUCAGCAUCAUUUAUUGAUGAUUUUAUCCCCUUUCUCAUAUAAAAAACUCCCAAG